RNAcentral lists this ribosomal RNA (388 nucleotides) under uncultured bacterium. RNAcentral's name for it is "bacterial SSU rRNA". It matches the Rfam family "Bacterial small subunit ribosomal RNA", at positions 28 to 417 of the family's 1533-position model. The record is from RNAcentral.
GACGAACGCUGGCGGCGUGCUUAACACAUGCAAGUCGAGCGAGGCCCUUCCUUCGGGGAGGUGCCCUAGCGGCGAACGGGUGAGUAACACGUGGGCAACCUGCCCCUAGCACUGGGAUAACUCCGGGAAACCGGGGCUAAUACCGGAUAUGACCUUUGAGGGCAUCCUCACUGGUGUAAAGGAUUCUGGCUAGGGAUGGGCCCGCGGCCUAUCAGCUUGUUGGUGGGGUAAUGGCCUACCAAGGCGACGACGGGUAGCCGGCCUGAGAGGGCGACCGGCCACACUGGGACUGAGACACGGCCCAGACUCCUACGGGAGGCAGCAGUGGGGAAUAUUGCACAAUGGGCGAAAGCCUGACGCAGCGACGCCGCGUGAGGGAUGACGGCCU